RNAcentral lists this long non-coding RNA (210 nucleotides) under Sorghum bicolor (sorghum). Its description in RNAcentral is "long non-coding RNA (SBIC_LNC018614)". The record is from RNAcentral. Lineage: Eukaryota; Viridiplantae; Streptophyta; Magnoliopsida; Poales; Poaceae.
AGCGCGACAUGAUGCUAUGGCCGUCGGAUGGAUAAUAUUUUGAAUAAGGACUAGGAACUUACAGAUUUGUCUGUGAGGAGCAAAUAGAUAGACUGUCAUCGAACUCCUCGGCCUCUUGAGGAGAGGAAUUCGCGGAUAAAACUUGAAAGUAAGGAUGCACUAUUAGUAAGCUUUUCCGCAAAAUACUUUGGCUCCUUGCUCAGCCACCCC